GAUGAACGCUGGCGGCGUGCCUAAUACAUGCAAGUCGAGCGGACGGACGAGAAGCUUGCUUCUCUGAUGUUAGCGGCGGACGGGUGAGUAACACGUGGAUAACCUACCUAUAUGACUGGGAUAAUUUCGGGAAACCGGAGCUAAUACCGGAUAAUAUUUUGAACCGCAUGGUUCAAAAGUGAAUGACGGCCUUGCUGUCACUUAUAGCUGGAUCCGCGCUGCAUUAGCUAGUUGGUAAGGUAACGGCUUACCAAGGCAACGAUGCAUAGCCGACCUGAGAGGGUGAUCGGCCACACUGGAACUGAGACACGGUCCAGACUCCUACGGGAGGCAGCAGUAGGGAAUCUUCGGCAAUGGGCGAAAGCCUGACGGAGCAACCCCGCGUGAGUGAUGAAGGUCUUCGGGUCGUAAAGCUCUGUUAUUGGGGAAGAACAUAUGUGUAAGUAAAUGUGCACAUCUUGACGGUACCUAAUCAAAAAGCCACGGCUAACUACGUG
Molecule: ribosomal RNA, 497 nt
Filed under: uncultured bacterium
Lineage: Bacteria
Description: partial 16S ribosomal RNA
Rfam family: Bacterial small subunit ribosomal RNA
Source: RNAcentral